GCCUACGGGGGGCAGCAGUGGGGAAUAUUGCGCAAUGGGCGAAAGCCUGACGCAGCGACGCCGCGUGAGGGAUGAAGGUCCUCGGAUCGUAAACCUCUGUCAGCAGGGAAGAACGGUCACUGUGCUAAUCAGCAGUGAGUUGACGGUACCUGCAAAGGAAGCACCGGCUAACUCCGUGCCAGCAGCCGCGGUAAUACGGAGGGUGCGAGCGUUAAUCGGAAUUACUGGGCGUAAGGCGCUCGUAGGCGGUAUGUCAAGUCAAGGGUGAAAUCCCCGCGCUCAACGUGGGAACUGCCUUUGAAACU
This 305-nucleotide ribosomal RNA is filed under the name uncultured bacterium. Its description in RNAcentral is "bacterial SSU rRNA". It matches the Rfam family "Bacterial small subunit ribosomal RNA", at positions 337 to 634 of the family's 1533-position model. The record is from RNAcentral.